RNAcentral lists this unclassified non-coding RNA (439 nucleotides) under Mus musculus (house mouse). RNAcentral's name for it is "A-Uba52-4c antisense RNA". Lineage: Eukaryota; Metazoa; Chordata; Mammalia; Rodentia; Muridae. The record is from RNAcentral.
AAGUCUAAAGGCACAGGGGAGGAGCAAUUGCUUGGCCACUCCCAGAGCUGUUCUCUGCUGAGAGCUGAGCUGGUUUCCUGCACCACAAGCUUACACUGACAUACAAGGUCUUGCCGCAGGUCCAAAGCUCUGUGGCCAGCUGACCACGUACUGAUACCUCAAAGCGAGCCAACAUGGCGCCUCUCACUGCAAGUUGACUCAUCUCAGGUAUUCAAUACAGUAACAGAAGUUUAACACACCUUUCAGUUCCCUAAAAAGGAGAACUAGUUUGAGUGACUAGCAACAAUUCACAGGACGCUGUUGGUGAAGUACUCCCUCCAAGGUUGUUGGUAUGGCCGCACUUCUUCUUGCGGCAGUUGACUGCACGAGGGUGCAGGCGUGCGUAGCACUUGCGGCAGAUCAUCUUGUCACAGUUGUACUUCUGGGCAAGCUGACGAAG